CUUCGGGAGAAGGGGGGCCCCAACCUUGAGCACCACGUGCUGGUGUGAGGGGAUCGGGGCCGCAGAGACCAGGGGGAAGCGACUGUUUAUCAAAAACACAGGUCCAUGCGAAGUCGUAAGACGAUGUAUAUGGACUGACUCCUGCCCGGUGCUGGAAGGUUAAGAGGAGGAGUGCAAGCUCUGAAUUGAAGCCCCAGUAAACGGCGGCCGUAACAAUAACGGUCCUAAGGCAGCGAAAUUCCUUGUCGGGUAAGUUCCGACCUGCACGAAUGGCAUAAUGAUGGCGGCGCUGUCUCCAGCAGAGACUCAGUGAAAUCGAAAUCGCAGUGAAGAUGCUGUGUACCCGCGGCUAGACGGAAAGACCCCGUGAACCUUUACUGCAGCUUGGCUGUGGCACCGGAAAUAAUAUGUGUAGGAUAGGUGGGAGGCUUUGAAGCAGCGGC
Molecule: ribosomal RNA, 443 nt
Filed under: Asterionellopsis glacialis
Lineage: Eukaryota; Bacillariophyta; Plagiogrammaphyceae; Rhaphoneidales; Asterionellopsidaceae
Description: partial Bacterial large subunit ribosomal RNA
Rfam family: Bacterial large subunit ribosomal RNA
Source: RNAcentral